RNAcentral lists this ribosomal RNA (447 nucleotides) under uncultured bacterium. RNAcentral describes it as "partial 16S ribosomal RNA". It matches the Rfam family "Bacterial small subunit ribosomal RNA", at positions 29 to 523 of the family's 1533-position model. The record is from RNAcentral.
AACGAACGCUGGCGGCAGGCUUAACACAUGCAAGUCGAACGCAUCGCAAGAUGAGUGGCAGACGGGUGAGUAACGCGUGUGAACAUACCCUUUUCUACGGAAUAGCUCUGGGAAACUGGAAUUAAUACCGUAUACGCCCUCCGGGGGAAAGAUUUAUCGGGGAAGGAUUGGCCCGCGUUGGAUUAGCUAGUUGGUGGGGUAAAGGCCUACCAAGGCAACGAUCCAUAGCUGGUCUGAGAGGUUGAUCAGCCACAUUGGGACAGAGACACGGCCCAAACUCCUACGGGAGGCAGCAGUGGGGAAUAUUGGACAAUGGGCGCAAGCCUGAUCCAGCCAUGCCGCGUGAGUGAUGAAGGCCUUAGGGUUGUAAAGCUCUUUCACCGAUGAAGAUAAUGACGGUAGUCGGAGAAGAAGCCCCGGCUAACUUCGUGCCAGCAGCCGCAGUAA